This 460-nucleotide long non-coding RNA is filed under the name Gossypium barbadense (sea-island cotton). RNAcentral's name for it is "long non-coding RNA (GBAR_LNC000158)". The record is from RNAcentral. Lineage: Eukaryota; Viridiplantae; Streptophyta; Magnoliopsida; Malvales; Malvaceae.
CUCUGCAACUUUUUGUCAUGCAACCAGGAAAUUUAGGAUCCAAAUCUAAAACCAGAACACCAACUUUAAGAGUUGAACUCGGACCAUGAUACACCAGUACAUACCAUCACUUAGUUGAGGUAAGUGGAAUAUGAAGAAGAGUCAGCUUCAGUCUCCCUUACUUCCUAACUCUCAGCAAAAAUCACUAUCAUCUAUGGUCAAUCCUUUCAAAAUCCAACCAACCCUGUAUUUUAUGUUUAUAUCAUGCAAAUAUGAAGAAUUACCUUUAAACUUGUGAAUUAAAUCAGACUCAUCAACAAGCCGAAUUCGUGAAUCUGCAGAUGUGAUGAGUACUUCUGAUGAACUUCCAGGUGCAAACUGUUUUAAGAAAGCAACCAACGGGGGAAGAAUAAAGUGAAUACAUGGCAGGCAAGAAAUAUGCAAUAGGUUCCAAGUAAGGAAUAUCAAAUUCAACUAGAAC